RNAcentral lists this ribosomal RNA (812 nucleotides) under uncultured bacterium. RNAcentral describes it as "bacterial SSU rRNA". It matches the Rfam family "Bacterial small subunit ribosomal RNA", at positions 636 to 1447 of the family's 1533-position model. The record is from RNAcentral.
UNUGACUUGAGUGCAGAAGGGGAGAGUGGAAUUCCAUGUGUAGCGGUGAAAUGCGUAGAUAUAUGGAGGAACACCAGUGGCGAAAGCGGCUCUCUGGUCUGUCACUGACGCUGAGGCUCGAAAGCGUGGGUAGCGAACAGGAUUAGAUACCCUGGUAGUCCACGCCGUAAACGAUGAGUGCUAGGUGUUAGGCCCUUUCCGGGGCUUAGUGCCGGAGCUAACGCAAUAAGCACUCCGCCUGGGGAGUACGACCGCAAGGUUGAAACUCAAAGGAAUUGACGGGGGCCCGCACAAGCGGUGGAGCAUGUGGUUUAAUUCGAAGCAACGCGAAGAACCUUACCAGGUCUUGACAUCCCGAUGCUAUUCUUAGAGAUAGGAAGUUACUUCGGUACAUCGGAGACAGGUGGUGCAUGGUUGUCGUCAGCUCGUGUCGUGAGAUGUUGGGUUAAGUCCCGCAACGAGCGCAACCCUUAUUGUUAGUUGCCAUCAUUAAGUUGGGCACUCUAGCGAGACUGCCGGUAAUAAACCGGAGGAAGGUGGGGAUGACGUCAAAUCAUCAUGCCCCUUAUGACCUGGGCUACACACGUGCUACAAUGGCCGGUACAACGAGUUGCGAGCCGGUGACGGCAAGCUAAUCUCUGAAAGCCGAUCUCAGUUCGGAUUGGAGGCUGCAACUCGCCUCCAUGAAGUCGGAAUCGCUAGUAAUCGCGGAUCAGCACGCCGCGGUGAAUACGUUCCCGGGCCUUGUACACACCGCCCGUCACACCACGAGAGUUUGUAACACCCGAAGUCGGUGAGGUANCCUUUUAGGG